RNAcentral lists this ribosomal RNA (1420 nucleotides) under Staphylococcus aureus. RNAcentral's name for it is "partial 16S ribosomal RNA". It matches the Rfam family "Bacterial small subunit ribosomal RNA". The record is from RNAcentral. Lineage: Bacteria; Bacillati; Bacillota; Bacilli; Caryophanales; Staphylococcaceae.
UCUGAUGUUAGCGGCGGACGGGUGAGUAACACGUGGAUAACCUACCUAUAAGACUGGGAUAACUUCGGGAAACCGGAGCUAAUACCGGAUAAUAUUUUGAACCGCAUGGUUCAAAAGUGAAAGACGGUCUUGCUGUCACUUAUAGAUGGAUCCGCGCUGCAUUAGCUAGUUGGUAAGGUAACGGCUUACCAAGGCAACGAUGCAUAGCCGACCUGAGAGGGUGAUCGGCCACACUGGAACUGAGACACGGUCCAGACUCCUACGGGAGGCAGCAGUAGGGAAUCUUCCGCAAUGGGCGAAAGCCUGACGGAGCAACGCCGCGUGAGUGAUGAAGGUCUUCGGAUCGUAAAACUCUGUUAUUAGGGAAGAACAUAUGUGUAAGUAACUGUGCACAUCUUGACGGUACCUAAUCAGAAAGCCACGGCUAACUACGUGCCAGCAGCCGCGGUAAUACGUAGGUGGCAAGCGUUAUCCGGAAUUAUUGGGCGUAAAGCGCGCGUAGGCGGUUUUUUAAGUCUGAUGUGAAAGCCCACGGCUCAACCGUGGAGGGUCAUUGGAAACUGGAAAACUUGAGUGCAGAAGAGGAAAGUGGAAUUCCAUGUGUAGCGGUGAAAUGCGCAGAGAUAUGGAGGAACACCAGUGGCGAAGGCGACUUUCUGGUCUGUAACUGACGCUGAUGUGCGAAAGCGUGGGGAUCAAACAGGAUUAGAUACCCUGGUAGUCCACGCCGUAAACGAUGAGUGCUAAGUGUUAGGGGGUUUCCGCCCCUUAGUGCUGCAGCUAACGCAUUAAGCACUCCGCCUGGGGAGUACGACCGCAAGGUUGAAACUCAAAGGAAUUGACGGGGACCCGCACAAGCGGUGGAGCAUGUGGUUUAAUUCGAAGCAACGCGAAGAACCUUACCAAAUCUUGACAUCCUUUGACAACUCUAGAGAUAGAGCCUUCCCCUUCGGGGGACAAAGUGACAGGUGGUGCAUGGUUGUCGUCAGCUCGUGUCGUGAGAUGUUGGGUUAAGUCCCGCAACGAGCGCAACCCUUAAGCUUAGUUGCCAUCAUUAAGUUGGGCACUCUAAGUUGACUGCCGGUGACAAACCGGAGGAAGGUGGGGAUGACGUCAAAUCAUCAUGCCCCUUAUGAUUUGGGCUACACACGUGCUACAAUGGACAAUACAAAGGGCAGCGAAACCGCGAGGUCAAGCAAAUCCCAUAAAGUUGUUCUCAGUUCGGAUUGUAGUCUGCAACUCGACUACAUGAAGCUGGAAUCGCUAGUAAUCGUAGAUCAGCAUGCUACGGUGAAUACGUUCCCGGGUCUUGUACACACCGCCCGUCACACCACGAGAGUUUGUAACACCCGAAGCCGGUGGAGUAACCUUUUAGGAGCUAGCCGUCGAAGGUGGGACAAAUGAUUGGGGUGAAGUCGUA